UCCCUGGUGGCUCAGAUGGUAAAAGCGUAUGCCUGCAAUGCUGGAGAUCUGGGUUCGAUUCCUGGGUAGGGAA
Molecule: transfer RNA, 73 nt
Filed under: Ovis aries (sheep)
Lineage: Eukaryota; Metazoa; Chordata; Mammalia; Artiodactyla; Bovidae
Rfam family: tRNA
About the family: Transfer RNA (tRNA) molecules are approximately 80 nucleotides in length. Their secondary structure includes four short double-helical elements and three loops (D, anti-codon, and T loops). Further hydrogen bonds mediate the characteristic L-shaped molecular structure. tRNAs have two regions of fundamental functional importance: the anti-codon, which is responsible for specific mRNA codon recognition, and the 3' end, to which the tRNAs corresponding amino acid is attached (by aminoacyl-tRNA synthetases). tRNAs cope with the degeneracy of the genetic code in two manners: having more than one tRNA (with a specific anti-codon) for a particular amino acid; and 'wobble' base-pairing, i.e. permitting non-standard base-pairing at the 3rd anti-codon position.
Source: Rfam by way of RNAcentral